AUCCAACAACCUAUAACUAUAACCUCCACGACAUCUCAAAUCAAAGUUCCUUUAUAUUGCAAGGCCCAAAACCCUUUUUUCUUUCCUACUUAUGCCACCAUCAACAUCCACCCUUUAAGACACCUGCUCAUCUGCAAGACAGUGGUCUAGGCGCAAGCCAAGCAUGUUACCCAUGACAUUGGUUUGGACUGAGCUUGGGCCAAGUGCUUAAGAAUAUG
RNAcentral lists this long non-coding RNA (218 nucleotides) under Elaeis guineensis (African oil palm). RNAcentral's name for it is "long non-coding RNA (EGUI_LNC022118)". Lineage: Eukaryota; Viridiplantae; Streptophyta; Magnoliopsida; Arecales; Arecaceae. The record is from RNAcentral.